GGUCCUAGUUUUUCUGAUUUUGGGAGUUCAUAAAAGGAGCAGAUUUGGAUGUGGGUUUUUGGGAUUGGCUUACCCACGAAUCUGCUCAACCAGACUUUGCCUGAAUUAAUUGACCCCAAAAAGAACACUUUCCUUUUUGGUCGUUUGGGUUCGUAAAUUGAAGGGGUCAGUUAUCAAAUGGAGCAAAGGAAAAAGGAGAGACUAAUAAUGUAUGGAAGGCAAAAAAAAAAAAAAAAUGGUAAUAAUGAUUGAUUGAGUCGAGUUGAUUUGGUUGCAAUUUUUCAAAUAGGAUCUGACUUUACUUUUUGAAAGAUUAUGACUUGAUUGCAUAUUAUGCACAACGUUUAGGACUAUUGGUGCAAAUGCCAAUCUAUAUAUCAAGUUGGGACAGCUUAUUAAGACUUCAAAGUCUGGAAUAAGAGAGUCCAAUUACUAAUUGAGAUUUACUUUUUGUAAAAUGUUAGCACUCUUUCCUUUUAGAUUUUCUCCAUGAAAUCGUAUACGUUUUAUGCACCUUCACGACCAUAUACCAAUUAUACCU
RNAcentral lists this long non-coding RNA (541 nucleotides) under Eucalyptus grandis. Its description in RNAcentral is "long non-coding RNA (EGRA_LNC005539)". Lineage: Eukaryota; Viridiplantae; Streptophyta; Magnoliopsida; Myrtales; Myrtaceae. The record is from RNAcentral.